CUUAAGAUGCCUAGAAUUCCAUUGUUUAUGGGAACUAGGAAGUGUGGCUAUGAAGAAGAAGGGCCUAUAAUGCCGUACACCAACCUUGGAAACGGGGGAUGUUCCUAGAAGUAUGAUACUGUUUGCAAUAAGUGGAUUUUGUAUUGAUUAAAUCGUAUAUCCAUGGUAAAUAAUCAUAUCACACCAACUCCACAGGCAUAGAACCAUAUGAACGAAGCUGCAAACAGUUGGGAGCGAGAGUUCACCUGACGGGUACUGAGACUAGUAGAUGGCCUGCAAACUGGACGCUGCAAGUCAGGUUUCCAGUUCCAACUGUUUGGUCUUAAACCUGCCAAAAAAGAAGAUGUUUUAGCCAUGUAUAUUGUAUACUGCAAGUGGAAUAUGUUCAAAGACUAUUAGAGAAUUGAGCUUUAGUCCCAGUUGGUAGGGUUCAAAGGUCCCGAAAAUCCAUCCGAGAUUAAUUUUUUGAGACAAGGGAGUCCUUUAGUUUCAGAAAAAAAUAAAAAAAAGGCCACGUGGCCGGCCGGCCGCCACCCGCCUCGGCUCGUGCCCACACCCCCACCCGCCCGCCGCUUCACGCCUGUGCCUCCGCUUGCCCGCCGCUUGCCCGCCCGCGCCCGCGCCGCCUGCUGCUUGGCCUCCCGCGCCUCCGCUCGUUGCUGGGCCGCCCACGCCCGCGCUGCGCGCCGCCUCCGCUCGUCGCUCGGCCGCUCCCCCGCGCGCCAGCCCUGCCCUCGCCCCGCUGCCACUCCUCACUCCAUUUUUUAAUUGUUUAGGUAGUUAGGCCUAGUGCUCAGUGUGUUCAACAUUCUAGCUCCAGAACUUCAUGCUGCUAUAAUCGAUAUAUCCUCGCUUCAUUGAGUCCUUGUGACUUUUGGAUCUCUAGGUGGAGAAUUGCAGUCUGCUUGCAGAGUUUCAUGAUGAAUUUUCAAGUUGUGCGGGACAUACAUGCCUAAAUUUAUUUCUAUGGAAUAGUUUCUGAAUCCAUCAUGCAUCGAGGGGUUCUUACUGAUGACAUGGCAUUUGAAAGGUUUAUAUUCAAAAGUGCUGCGGGCAUAAUGCAAGAUGGAGGUUUUAAUUUAUUAAGCUUUUGCGGCAUGUGGCACUGGCACGCAGAUGGCCUUUAAGGUUUAAUAGUUGAGUUGCCCCUGCCUUUAGGACAGAUAUUGCAGAGCGGCAUGUUGGAGUUUCUAAGGCUGCAGAACAGUUUGCUGUUCUUUGUGUGGUAAAAACUGCAAUAUGUGUAAAUGCUUGUGGCUCUUAGAACUUGGGGCAUUUUUUUACACUAGGACGUAUUCAGAUGCAUUCGCAGGAACAGACAAUGUUCCAAUCCAGAGGAGCUGUACUAUAGUGUUUCGGCAAGUCUGUUGUGGUGGCUUCUUGAAUUCAUGGGCUUGUACAAGCUUGUGUGUAGCAUCCUAGUUGACCUGUUAUUAGCUCUUCAUUUUUUAGUAUUUCCUUCUGCUUUUACAUCAGCUUAUGGGACCUAAUUAAUUGUGCUCUUUACUUUAAACUUCUCCAUUCACAAUUAAUUGUAUUAGGUUACAAAAACAUCAUAUUGUGACACCCGAUCUAAUUUAGUGGUCUAGUAGUGGUCCAUUAGCGUUAUAUGCGCAUGUGUUAAUACCACAUUGCAAAAAGGUUUAUAAGUUAGCUCUACGCCUCUACCCUUGCUCAACUACCAACAUGGUACUAAACAUAUGCACAUACAACACUCAUGAGCUACUACUCGACCACCAAAUUGGAUCGGGUAUCACAUGCCUCAAAAAAAAAGAAUCUAGCUUUGGAGGAUGAGAUGUUACACAUCUACAUAUGCAUAUGAUCCUUUCCUAAUAGGGCUACCAAAGUCAUUUUCCUUCGUCAUUAGUCCGUCUUAAGAUUUCUAGAAUUCCAUUGUUUAUGGGAACUAGGAAGUGUGGCUAUGAGGAAGAAGGGCCUGUAAUGCCGUACACCAACCUUGGAAACGGGGAAUGUUCCAACAAGUAUGAUACUGUUUGCAAUAAGUGGAUUUUGUCCUGAUUAAAUCGUAUAUCCAUGGUAAAUAAUCAUAUCACACUCAACUCCACGGGCAUAGAACCAUAUGAACAAAGCUGCAAACAGUUGGGAGCGAGAGUUCACCUGAUGGGUACUGAGACUAGUAGAUGGCCUGCAAUCUGGACGCUGCAAGUCAGGUUUCCAGUUCCAACUGUUUGGUCUCAAACCUGCCAAAAAAAAAGAUGUUUUGGCCAUGUAUAUUGUAUACUGCAAGUGGAAUAUGUUCGAACACUACUAGAGAAUUGAGUUUUAGUCCCAGUUGGUAGGGUUCAAAGGUCCCGAAAAUCCAUCCGGGAUUAAUUUUUCGAGACAAAGGAGGUCCUUUAAUUUCGAGAAAAAAUAAAAAAAAAGGCC
RNAcentral lists this long non-coding RNA (2388 nucleotides) under Setaria italica (foxtail millet). Its description in RNAcentral is "long non-coding RNA (SITA_LNC005777)". The record is from RNAcentral. Lineage: Eukaryota; Viridiplantae; Streptophyta; Magnoliopsida; Poales; Poaceae.